GAGGAUAUAGCUCAAGUGGUAGAGUGUGUGCUUAGCAUGCAUGAGGUCCUGGGUUCAAUCCCCAGAACCUCU
RNAcentral lists this transfer RNA (72 nucleotides) under Camelus bactrianus (Bactrian camel). It matches the Rfam family "tRNA". Rfam says of the family: Transfer RNA (tRNA) molecules are approximately 80 nucleotides in length. Their secondary structure includes four short double-helical elements and three loops (D, anti-codon, and T loops). Lineage: Eukaryota; Metazoa; Chordata; Mammalia; Artiodactyla; Camelidae. RNAcentral also lists the same sequence under 2 other names. The record is from Rfam by way of RNAcentral.